Molecule: ribosomal RNA, 253 nt
Filed under: uncultured bacterium
Lineage: Bacteria
Description: partial 16S ribosomal RNA
Rfam family: Bacterial small subunit ribosomal RNA
Source: RNAcentral
UACGGGGGGGGUAAGCGUUGUUCGGAAUUACUGGGCGUAAAGGGCUCGUAGGGGGCCAACUAAGUCGGACGUGAAAUCCCUCGGCUUAACCGGGGAACUGCGUCCGAUACUGGUUGGCUUGAGUUUGGGAGAGGGAUGCGGAAUUCCAGGUGUAGCGGUGAAAUGCGUAGAGAUCGGCAGGAACACCAGUGGCGAAGGCGGCCACCUAGCCCGCACCUGACGCUGAGGCGCGACAGCGUGGGGAGCGAACAGG